This 1735-nucleotide ribosomal RNA is filed under the name Ostreococcus mediterraneus. RNAcentral describes it as "partial Bacterial large subunit ribosomal RNA". It matches the Rfam family "Bacterial large subunit ribosomal RNA", at positions 1169 to 2862 of the family's 2925-position model. Lineage: Eukaryota; Viridiplantae; Chlorophyta; Mamiellophyceae; Mamiellales; Bathycoccaceae. The record is from RNAcentral.
GAUGUAACGGGGCUCAAACUGGUUACCGAAGCUGCGGCUGUGCACGCAAGUGCACGGGGUAGGGGAGCGUUCUGUAAGCCUGCGAAGGUGUGUCGAGAGGCAUGCUGGAGGUAUCAGAAGUGCGAAUGCUGACAUGAGUAACGACAAUGGGGGUGAAAAACCCCCACGCCGGAAGACCAAGGGUUCCUGCGCAACGCUAAUCGGCGCAGGGUGAGUCGGCCCCUAAGGCGAGACCGAAAGGUGUAGUCGAUGGGAAACGGAUUAAUAUUUCCGUACCUUGGAUAGCUGCGAUGGAGAGACGGAGAAGGCUAGGUGAGCCGGGCGACGGUUGUCCCGGUUUAAGCAUGUAGGCAGUGGGAUUAGGCAAAUCCGGUCCCACAAUGCCGAGACGCGACGACGACUGCCCUUUUAGGGCGGGAAGUCAUUGAUGCCCUGCUUCCAGGAAAAUCUUCUAAGCUUCAGGCUAUUCGAGACCGUACCCCAAACCGACACAGGUGGUCAGGUAGAGAAUACCAAGGCGCUUGAGAGAACUCGGGUAAAGGAACUAGGCAAAAUGGUGCCGUAACUUCGGGAGAAGGCACGCCGGUGGUAUGUGACGCCCUUCGCGGGUUGAGCAGAAGCCGGUCGAAGAUACCAGGCCCCUGCGACUGUUUAUUAAAAACACAGCACUGUGCAAACACGAAAGUGGACGUAUACGGUGUGACGCCUGCCCGGUGCCGGAAGGUUAAUUGAUGGGGUUAGCGCUUGCGCGAAGCUCUUGAUCGAAGCCCCGGUAAACGGCGGCCGUAACAAUAACGGUCCUAAGGUAGCGAAAUUCCUUGUCGGGUAAGUUCCGACCCGCACGAAAGGUGUAACGAUCUGGAUACUGUCUCAGAGAGAGACUCGGUGAAAUAAAAAUAUCUGUGAAGAUGCGGAUUACCUGUACGCGGACAGAAAGACCCUAUGAAGCUUUACUGUAACCUGGAAUUGCUCUCAAGCUUAUCUUGCGCAGCUUAGGUGGGAGACGUUGAAGUCCUUUCUCCGGAAAGGAUGGAGUCAUCAGUGAGAUACCACUCUUGGUAAGCUAGAGCGCUCAUUUCUAACCGUUAUCCGGUAGAAAGACAGUUUCAGGCGGGCAGUUUGACUGGGGCAGUCACCUCCCAAAAGGUAAUGGAGGUGUACAAAGGUUCUCUCAGGCUGGACGGAAAUCAGCCAUAGAGUGUAAAAGCAUAAGAGAGCUUGACUGCGAGACUGACAUGUCAAGCAGAGACGAAAGUCGGUUUUAGUGAUCCGACGGUGCUGAGUGGAAAGGCCGUCGCUCAACGGAUAAAAGUUACUCUAGGGAUAACAGGCUAAUCUCCCCCAAGAGUUCACAUCGACGGGGAGGUUUGGCACCUCGAUGUCGGCUUAUCGCAUCCUGGAGCGGAAGUACGUUCCAAGGGUUGGGCUGUUCGCCCAUAGAAAGCGGUACAUGAGCUGGGUUCAGAACGUCGUGAGACAGUUUGGUCCAUAUCCCGUAUAGGCGUUUAGAGCAUUGAGAGGAUCUCCCCUUUGUACGAGAGGACCAGGUGGGGACAAACCGCUAGUGUACCAGUUAUUCCGCCAGGGGUAAACGCUGGGUAGCUAUGUUUGGAGUAAAUAACUGCUGAAAGCAUAUAAGUAGGAAGUUCACCUUAAGAUGAGUGCUCUUUUGUCAAUGUCUAGUUUGACAGAAAAGACAAGGAAGGUCACGGUAAGACUAACCGUUUGAUAGGCG